Molecule: long non-coding RNA, 1233 nt
Filed under: Equus caballus (horse)
Lineage: Eukaryota; Metazoa; Chordata; Mammalia; Perissodactyla; Equidae
Description: lncRNA (ENSECAG00000050369.1)
Source: RNAcentral
CGGAUUCAUAAGCGCCUGAGACACUGAGUAUUUCCUUAGGGCGCCAAAAGCAGAGAGCAAGUGCCCCGCAGGCUGUAAAAGUCUUGGAAAUUGGGGGCCGCACCAGUUUUAUGCCCAUGAAAGCGGGGCCUGGUUCCACGUGGGCAGUACUUGCCCGCUUAAACACAGAGGAAUCGGCGGCCAGAGAGCGAGGCCUCAGAGCUCCCGUAGCUUUUAGAAAGACUACACUUACGUUAAUUUUGUGUCCAGCAAUAUCCCAGGACAUUUAUAAUCCCAAAAUGCAGGUGGGGAGGGAGAUCCAGAGAACUCACUGGCCUGAGGCUACAAUGGAAGAUACACUUUCUGCCGCAUUCAUCCACAUGAUGCCACUGCUAGGAGAGGGAGCUAUCCUGAGACAGCUCAAGACCCCUGAGCAGUUCUGGAGGCUGAGAACUGCCAAGGACAUGGUGCCAGCCCAUCAGGUGUCUGGCCCACCUGGACCCACUGGGAACUCCAUGCCCACCGAUUUCAAACUGUACAAAAUAGAGGGUGAGACAACUCAUAAACAGCCUCGAGCAGGAACCUCAGACUGCUGAGCGGAAGAAAGUGGAGAACAGCUACACCUGGAAGUUUGAGGACCUGGGCCAUCAUUAGCUCAUGAUGUCUUGGCUGCUUGAGGAGGACAGUCUGUACCGGCCUCUUGUCCCCUGAGGAAGCUACAGGCUGGAAGAAGUUACAUUCCCGGUUUAUUUGAAAUCUGAAACUUCAGCUACUCUAAAUUCUGCCUGAGGCCUGUGGAAGAAAAUUGUGAAUGUCAGCUCUUGAGAGAAGCCUCCUUUGACCAAUAUAAUCAAAAUACCCCGUUCCCGCCCAGCAGUUCCCAUCUUUCCUAUUUUAUUUGCUCUCUUGCCCAGGAUGAUGCCUCAGAGCAUGUCAGAGGCUUCUGUAGCUGUAAAGAAGAGCUAAGCUCAAGUACUGUCUCAUAGACCAGACUCCUCCAUGUGUGGCUUCUGAAACAAUCCACUAGCUAAUGGAGAGGACUAAUGGAGAGAGCCAGCAAAGAGCACUAUGGGCUUCUAAGAGUGGCCCUGGAACUCCUGGCCCACAGGUUGCACCUCCUCAUUCCAUCUUAGCUGCGAGUUAAAUACUAUCUGGCUUUUGUGACACUUUAGGCUAAUGUGCUUGAAGCAUCUCAUCCACCCCUCCUCAGUCCCCAAGAAUCUGAAUAGGCAUUGCCACGGUUCAGUAAUCAAA